CAAGUCAGAGUCAAGAAUUGGGCCCCCUGCCCACCACCCAGGGUGUCUGAAGGCCCAGGCCGGCAUACCCAUCAUUCAGCCAGAGCAGGUGGCCGAGCCAGCUGGGCUCUUCUCCAGAUGCUUUCAGGGAGGGAUGCCAGGCCUAAGACCAGGGGUCCACACCCUGAGGGGAGGUGGCAGAGGAUGUGGUCUCGGAAAGCCCAGAACCUGGUGAGUGGGGAGGGGUCCUUCCAGAUGGUUUCAACCUUUGACCCAAUUCCUCCAUCUCUGAGGCGAAGGGAAGGGAUUGGGUUGAUGCCCCCAGAGCCCCAACCCAGCCACCAUCCUUUCUCAGAGCCACACAGCUGGGAGAAGUCACCAAGGCUCCCUGUGCUGAGAGAAAGAGGGUAUGUCUCAGGUGGGUAUAAGACGUGGACUCCUGGAGGGGUCCUUGGCCCUCUCUCCUAGCAGGGACAUUCCUUCUCCCGCCACCCUCCAGAUCUCCUGCUCCAGAUGCCUGGCUCCUCCAGGGCACCCCAAUGGGCGGCUCUGCCACCCCAGGACACUCAACUGGAGCCACCCUUACAAAACCGGUUUGAAGCCAAACAAUAGCAGGUCACAGUCCAGCUGAGCUGGAGGCCUCAGCAGGGUGAACACGAGUGAGGCUGUGGCCAAGAGGGACAGAGGUGCCAGGGUCUCAGAGGCAGGUGUGGCGCAGUUGCCAGCAAGCCCCACUGCCCAGCACGGCCGCCCCACAGCUCCGUCUCUUCCCCAUGACCUGACCGCAGCUUUGAGGCCAGCACUUGGCCUCCCCUCCCAAGCAGCAGGUCCCUUCUCUGGCCGGGGAGGAGGAGGAGGGUGACUUCCGAAGGGAGAGGAAGCAGAAUGUCAGCCUGCAGCCUUCCUGCCAGGAGAGGAGAACUUCAGGUCAGAAUGGCCAUCUCAACCUCAUGGAAGCUCUGGAUUGACGAGUGACCGCUGAUGUGGCAGGAGGUCCACCUUCCCACAAAGGGAGCCCAGAGCCCAGAGGGGUCCCUCUGGCCCAGGGAGGGUGGGACAUAGGCAUAUGGGUGGAAGUUGGACAAAGUCUGGCAGAAUGGGGCACCAGGGGACAGUAAGACCCUGGCUGAGAAACUGAGCGGGGACAGGCCCCAGCAAUUCCCUUGGAGAUAAAGAGCCUGCUGCAGGUCCCAGGCCCCAACCGGGGACAGACGGGAGGGGAUGUGCUGGUGAUGGGGGUGAGCCAUCUAGACAGAAAGCUCUGUGGACACCUGAGGCCUCCUCCUGGAAUUGCCCCAAGCCAUGUGGCUAAGGCCUGGGGAGCCCUUCACCAUGUGGGUUGGGGUGCAGUGGGGUGGGAGCCCCUCGCCAAAGCUGGGAAGGGGCAGGGGCUGCAGAGAGCCUCUGGGAGAUGGGAGGCACAGCAGGGAGGAGCCUGCAUGGGCCUUCCAAGUGCCCCGCUGCCCGACUUUCCUCCUGCCCAGCCCCGUGGGUGGACUCCAACCUACAGCUUCACUGAUCUCAGAAGGCCCCACCCUCUCCCAGCUUGUGCUUCUGACUGUUUAUUUCCUGCAGAGGAGUCAGUGUUCCUGCCACUGAGAACAGAGAUGUUUUCACCCAGAGGGCCCACCCGCCGCACCCCUGCCUGCACCCCUCACACCCUGGCUCCAUCCUAAUGCAGGGAUAUGAACUUGGGCUUGGGUCCCAGCUGCUUCCUGGGCCUCUGAAUCCUCAUCUUUGAGCUGAGGGUGUGAGACGGGAUAAUUCCAGCCACCAUCCAGCCCCAAAUGUCCCCCACUUCAUGACUGUCUUCCUCAAAUGCCAUGCCUCCUCAAAUACCUCUCCUCCCCACCAGCGAGAGAGGUGCAGUCUGGUGGGGGAGAGAGGAGGCUGCUGGAUGACUGUGCCUUCUUCCCACAUCCCAGCCUGUUCUUCUGGAUCCCACAUCCAGGGACCCCCAGCCUUUACAGUUGACCCAUUCCAGCAUAUUAGCCACAAGAUUGUUGGUUCUCUUUAAUAGGUGAGGAGUCUGAGUCUCAGACAGACCCUGUGUCUUGCUGAAAGUCACCUGGCCAGUCAGGGGCAGGGCUGGGUUUCAAGCCCAGCAGCAGGCCCCCUUGCCCCCACCCCCCAACAUCUGUGCAGAGCCCUGGGUUGCCCUCCUCCAACGUCGUUGUGGCGUGAACAGCCAGGCGCUUUCAUUCAGGGCCCGACUCUGCAGCCGCCACAGCCUGGUGAUGUCAGCGUUGCCAUGGAAACCAUUCCCCAGGCGUCGGGCAGGACCAGCCUCCCCAGCGCAGUUUCCCUUUGUGUGGACUUUGCAACGCGUUGCCAAGACAGAAGAAUCCUAUAGUACCUUUGGAGAGUGGGCCAGCUCUGUCCAAAGCCUCCCACAAGCUCCCAGAUCUAAGAGGGGUUUGAGCCAAGCGAGAAUCUCCAAGCCCAGGCCCCUCCCUGCAGAGGCUUGGAAAGCCUGCUCAGCCUAACAGGGUCUUCCUAUGUUUCCCAGGCUGCUCUCCAACCCCUAGGCUUGAGUGACCCUCCUGCCUUGGUCUCCCAAAGUGCUGGGGUUACAGGCACCAUGCCUGGCUGUGAAUCUCCCUUAUUAAAGAUCAGCAAACACUAGUGACCUCCACUGAGAGCCGACGAGAGCUGACCUCAUGCCAGGGAUGCCAGGAAUGGCUGGAUGGCUGCAGCAGGAAAUGCACAACAGAGGCAGCCAGAGCCACUCUUGCUAUCCGGCUCUGGAAGGUCCCUCAGUGCUCUGGGGCCCAGGCUGCCCGUGUUGGAACUGCCACAUCCAGUCCUACCAAAGUCCACGCUGCAGCCACAGGAACGAAAAGGAUGAUAGCUUUGUGGAAAACUCAAGUAUUUAAAAAAUAAACAAAACGUGUGAA
Molecule: long non-coding RNA, 2876 nt
Organism: Callithrix jacchus (white-tufted-ear marmoset)
Lineage: Eukaryota; Metazoa; Chordata; Mammalia; Primates; Cebidae
Source: RefSeq, a predicted model, not a curated record